GACGCUCUCGACCUUCGGGUCACAUGGGAGAGUGGCGAACGGGUGAGUAACACGUGAGAAACCUGCCCUAAAGAUUGGGACAACCACGGGAAACUGUGGCUAAUACCGAAUACCUUCUCUUGGCCGCAUGGUCAGUUGAAGAAAUGCUCCGGCGCUUUAGGAGGGUCUCGCGGCCUAUCAGCUUGUUGGUGAGGUAACGGCUCACCAAGGCAUCGACGGGUAGCUGGUCUGAGAGGACGAUCAGCCACACUGGGACUGAGACACGGCCCAGACUCCUACGGGAGGCAGCAGUGGGGAAUCUUGCGCAAUGGGCGAAAGCCUGACGCAGCGAUGCCGCGUGGGGGAUGAAGGCUCUCGGGUCGUAAACCCCUUUCAGCAGGGACGAAAAUGACGGUACCUGCAGAAGAAGCCCCGGCCAACUACGUGCCAGCAGCCGCGGUAACACGUAGGGGGCGAGCGUUGUCCGGAUUUAUUGGGCGUAAAGGGCUCGUAGGCUGUUCAGUAAGUCAGGUGUGAAAACCCAAGGCUCAACCUUGGGACGCCACUUGAUACUGCUGUGACUAGAGUCCGGUAGAGGAGAUUGGAAUUCCUGGUGUAGCGGUGAAAUGCGCAGAUAUCAGGAGGAACACCAACGGCGAAGGCAGAUCUCUGGGCCGGUACUGACGCUGAGGAGCGAAAGCGUGGGGAGCGAACAGGAUUAGAUACCCUGGUAGUCCACGCCGUAAACGUUGGGCACUAGGUGUGGGGUCUAUUCAACGGAUUCCGUGCCGCAGCUAACGCAUUAAGUGCCCCGCCUGGGGAGUACGGCCGCAAGGCUAAAACUCAAAGGA
Molecule: ribosomal RNA, 830 nt
Filed under: uncultured bacterium
Lineage: Bacteria
Description: bacterial SSU rRNA
Rfam family: Bacterial small subunit ribosomal RNA
Source: RNAcentral